CUAGCGACUUCAGAGUUGAUCCUGGCUCAGGACGAACGCUGGCGGCACGCCUAACACAUGCAAGUCGAACGGACGAGAGGUAGCUUGCUACUUCGAGUUAGUGGCGGACGGGUGAGUAACACGUGAGCAACCUGCCUUUAAGAGGGGGAUAGCUUCUGGAAACGGAUGGUAAUACCCCAUAACAUAUGCGGAUGGCAUCUUCUGCAUAUCAAAGAUUUAUCGCUUAGAGAUGGGCUCGCGUCUGAUUAGAUAGUUGGUGAGGUAACGGCUCACCAAGUCGACGAUCAGUAGCCGGACUGAGAGGUUGAACGGCCACAUUGGGACUGAGACACGGCCCAG
This 339-nucleotide ribosomal RNA is filed under the name uncultured bacterium. Its description in RNAcentral is "bacterial SSU rRNA". It matches the Rfam family "Bacterial small subunit ribosomal RNA", at positions 1 to 334 of the family's 1533-position model. The record is from RNAcentral.